GCCAGGCGUGGUGGCUCAUGCCUGUAAUCCCAACAAUUUGGGAGGCCAAGGCAGGAGGAUCACUUGAGGCCAGGAGGUUGAGAUCAGCCUGGCCAAUAUGGUGAUACCCUGUCUUUA
Macaca fascicularis (crab-eating macaque) is the source of this 117-nucleotide unclassified non-coding RNA. It matches the Rfam family "Metazoan signal recognition particle RNA". From Rfam's summary of the family: The signal recognition particle (SRP) is a universally conserved ribonucleoprotein. It is involved in the co-translational targeting of proteins to membranes. The record is from Ensembl. NCBI's taxonomy places the organism in Eukaryota, Metazoa, Chordata, Mammalia, Primates, Cercopithecidae.